AUUCCAGCUCCAAUAGCGUAUAUUAAAGUUGUUGCAGUUAAAAAGCUCGUAGUUGGAUUUCGGAACCGGCCGAUUGGUCCGUCCUCUGGAUCGUGUACUGAUCGGUCUGUUCUUCUUCGCGAAGACCGCGUGUGCCCUUAACUGGGUGGGCGCGGGAUUCGCGACGUUUACUUUGAAAAAAUUAGAGUGUUCAAAGCAGGCAGUCGCUUGAAUAUCUCAGCAUGGAAUAAUAGAAUAGGACUUUGGUCUUAUUUUGUUGGUUUCCGAGACCGAAGUAAUGAUUAAUAGGGACAGUCGGGGGCAUUUGUAUUCAAACGACAGAGGUGAAAUUCUUGGACCGUUUGAAGACAAACUACUGCGAAAGCAUUUGCCAGGGAUGUUUUCAUUG
This 388-nucleotide ribosomal RNA is filed under the name Ctenophora sp. (in: diatoms). RNAcentral's name for it is "Ctenophora sp. (in: Bacillariophyta) partial small subunit ribosomal RNA". It matches the Rfam family "Eukaryotic small subunit ribosomal RNA", at positions 582 to 975 of the family's 1831-position model. Lineage: Eukaryota; Bacillariophyta; Fragilariophyceae; Fragilariales; Fragilariaceae. The record is from RNAcentral.